This 510-nucleotide ribosomal RNA is filed under the name uncultured bacterium. RNAcentral describes it as "partial 16S ribosomal RNA". It matches the Rfam family "Bacterial small subunit ribosomal RNA", at positions 28 to 507 of the family's 1533-position model. The record is from RNAcentral.
GACGAACGCUGGCGGCGUGCUUAACACAUGCAAGUCGAACGAAGAGCGAUGGAAGCUUGCUUCUAUCAAUCUUAGUGGCGAACGGGUGAGUAACGCGUAAUCAACCUGCCCUUCAGAGGGGGACAACAGUUGGAAACGACUGCUAAUACCGCAUACGAUCUAACCUCGGCAUCGAGGAUAGAUGAAAGGUGGCCUCUACAUGUAAGCUAUCACUGAAGGAGGGGAUUGCGUCUGAUUAGCUAGUUGGAGGGGUAACGGCCCGCCAAGGCGAUGAUCAGUAGCUGGUCUGAGAGGAUGAACGGCCACAUUGGGACUGAGACACGGCCCAGACUCCUACGGGAGGCAGCAGUGGGGAAUCUUCCGCAAUGGACGAAAGUCUGACGGAGCAACGCCGCGUGAGUGAUGACGGCCUUCGGGUUGUAAAGCUCUGUUAAUCGGGACGAAAGGCCUUCUUGCGAAUAGUGAGAAGGAUUGACGGUACCGGAAUAGAAAGCCACGGCUAACUACGUG